This 1032-nucleotide unclassified non-coding RNA is filed under the name Avena barbata (slender wild oat). RNAcentral's name for it is "partial external transcribed spacer". The record is from RNAcentral. Lineage: Eukaryota; Viridiplantae; Streptophyta; Magnoliopsida; Poales; Poaceae.
AGGGGGAGGGUGGCCGAACCCCCCGGGGCGUGCAAGGGUCGUGUUUUAUGGGCAAAAACACGUGGAUUUGAGUGGGAUCCAAGAGGUUGGCGCACGCCCCUAGGCAAGACGUAGCKGUUGGCUCAGUCGGAUGACGUUUCCCUGUAACCAUCACCGUAAACCGGUCCUUUAGUAUCCGUACGGGGAUCUGGGUCUGAGGUGUAUUGCAUGAGGUGUAGCACCAUGAAAUUGACGAUUUGAGCUCCGCCGCGCAACAACGUGUUUAUCCGGUGUCAUCCACGAUACUUGGGAGCCGUUGCCCCGGUCAUGUAAACGUUCCCAGUCGGUAUGAUUCCUCAAAAAGGUGAUUGCCGCGUUACGUUUUUCGUGUUCCAUGUGGUCUACUUCUCCUCAGUCGCUCUGGGUGGUCAUCCAUGUUAACCACGGAUAAUGCGCUUAUCCGGUGUCGUCCACGAUACUUGGGAGUCACUGGCCCGGUCCCGUAAACGUUCCCAGUCGGUAUGAUUCCCCAAAAAGGUGAUUGCCGCGUUACGUUUUCGUGUUCCAUAUGGGCUACUUCUCCUCAGUCGCUCUGGGUGGUCAUCCGUGGUAGGCACAUUCCAUCGCCUCUAGUCCCUUCAGAGAAAUGUUGCCCCAUGACGGUAUCGUUAUUGGUGCAACACCCGCGCGCCGUGGACACUCAGGACGCCUUCGUGCAGGCCAUUCCCCCGUGCUAUGCGUGGGGGGAGGCUUGGUUGGCUUGACCGAUGUGGAUACGCGAGCGGAUGAGUAGCUUUGGACCCGUGUCUGUUGUUAGAUCCCCCGUCCUCGUGCGGCCGACUAGCGACGCCGUGUCCCGUCAUUCGUGUGGCUUAUGUUACUGUUGCCUUUCAAGUGCUUGCGUGCAUGUACCCGACCUACGGGAAGUGGUGCUUUGUACACGCUUGCCUCGCGGCGGCCACCUCUGGGUGUUCCGCUGUGGCCUAAUGGCGCUUGCGGCGUUACCUCGGGGUACUGGCAUGUUUCGUGCUCGGUGCUAUCAAGGAAGCCUCG